AUUCCGGUUGAUCCUGCCGGGGGUCACUGCUAUCGGGGUUCGAUUAAGCCAUGCGAGUUGAGAGGGUUUAGACCCUCGGCGGACUGCUCAGUAACACGUGGAUAACCUGCCCUAAGGUGGAGCAUAACCCCGGGAAACUGGGGAUAAUACUCCAUAGAUUAGAGAUACUGGAAUGUUCUCUAGUCGAAAGCUCCGGCGCCUUAGGAUGGAUCUGCGGUCGAUUAGGUUGUUGUUGGGGUAACGGCCCAACAAGCCUGUAAUCGAUACGGGUUGUGGGAGCAAGAGCCCGGAGAUGGAAUCUGANACACGAUUCCAGGCCCUACGGGGCGCACANGCGCGAAAACUUUACNAUGCNNGAAACUGNGAUAAGGGAACCCC
RNAcentral lists this ribosomal RNA (378 nucleotides) under uncultured archaeon. RNAcentral describes it as "bacterial SSU rRNA". It matches the Rfam family "Archaeal small subunit ribosomal RNA", at positions 1 to 382 of the family's 1478-position model. The record is from RNAcentral.